RNAcentral lists this non-coding RNA (27 nucleotides) under Mus musculus (house mouse). The record is from RNAcentral. Lineage: Eukaryota; Metazoa; Chordata; Mammalia; Rodentia; Muridae.
UCCUCAGAACUGGAGGUCUAGGUUGAC